RNAcentral lists this ribosomal RNA (465 nucleotides) under uncultured bacterium. RNAcentral's name for it is "partial 16S ribosomal RNA". It matches the Rfam family "Bacterial small subunit ribosomal RNA", at positions 28 to 507 of the family's 1533-position model. The record is from RNAcentral.
GACGAACGCUGGCGGCGUGCUUAACACAUGCAAGUCGAACGGAAAGGCCCUGCUUGCAUGGUACUCGAGUGGCGAACGGGUGAGUAACACGUGGGUGAUCUGCCCUGCACUUCGGGGUAAGCCUUGGAAACUGUGUCUAAUACCGGAUAGGAGCCAUCUUUAGGGUGAUGGUGGGAAAGUUUUUUCGGUGUAGGAUGAGCUCGCGGCCUAUCAGCUUGUUGGUGGGGUAAGGGCCUACCAAGGCGGGGACGGGUGGCCGGCCUGCGGGGGUGGACGGCCACAUUGGGACCGAGAUACGGCCCAGACUCCUACGGGAGGCAGGAGUGGGGAAUAUUGCAAAAUGGGGGCGAGCCCGAUGCAGCGACGCCGCGUGGGGGAUGACGGCCUUCGGGUUGUAAACUCCUUUCGCUAGGGACGAAGCUUUUUGUGACGGUACCUAGAUAAGAAGCACCGGCUAACUACGUG